Molecule: ribosomal RNA, 301 nt
Filed under: uncultured bacterium
Lineage: Bacteria
Description: partial 16S ribosomal RNA
Rfam family: Bacterial small subunit ribosomal RNA
Source: RNAcentral
CAGUCGCCACGGUAAUACGUAGGGUGCAAGCGUUAAUCGGAAUUACUGGGCGUAAAGCGUGCGCAGGCGGUUAUAUAAGACAGAUGUGAAAUCCCCGGGCUCAACCUGGGAACUGCAUUUGUGACUGUAUAGCUAGAGUACGGCAGAGGGGGAUGGAAUUCCGCGUGUAGCAGUGAAAUGCGUAGAUAUGCGGAGGAACACCGAUGGCGAAGGCAAUCCCCUGGGCCUGUACUGACGCUCAUGCACGAAAGCGUGGGGAGCAAACAGGAUUAGAUACCCGUGUAGUCCCUGUCUCUUAUAU